GAUGAAGAACGCAGUGAAAUGCGAUAAGUAAUGUGAAUUGCAGAAUUCAGUGAAUCAUCGAAUCUUUGAACGCACAUUGCGCCCCUUGGUAUUCCGAGGGGCAUGCCUGUUCGAGCGUCAUUUUGACCAGUCCCGCUUGCGGGGUCUUGGGCCUUCGCCUCUGGGCGGGCCUUAAAAUCAGUGGCGGUGCCGUCCGGCUCUAAGCGUAGUAAAUCUCCUCGCUAUAGGGUUCCGGAGGGAUGCUGGCCAACAACCCCCAACUUUUAAGGUUGACCUCGGAUCAGGUAGGGAUACCCGCUGAACUUAAGCAUAUCAAUAAGCGGAGGA
Molecule: unclassified non-coding RNA, 327 nt
Filed under: soil metagenome
Description: partial contains 5.8S ribosomal RNA, internal transcribed spacer 2, and large subunit ribosomal RNA
Rfam family: 5.8S ribosomal RNA (bases 1-120)
Source: RNAcentral